Cinara cedri is the source of this 440-nucleotide non-coding RNA. Lineage: Eukaryota; Metazoa; Arthropoda; Insecta; Hemiptera; Aphididae. The record is from the annotation of a GenBank genome assembly.
UUUCCUUACAUAUAUUUAAAAUUAAUAUGUAAUUAUUCUUAUAUUCAUCACCGUUAGUCAUUGAGUUUGUCUUAGCAUAUAACUUAAUUUAAAAGUUAUAGUUUCUGUAUUGAAUUUAUUUUAUUGAUAAUAUUAAAUUAAAUCUGUACUUGUGCGACUUUUUAACUCAAAUAUUACUUUUAAUGAUUUUUUUUUUUUCAUAAUUAGAUUUACACUGGUCAAAGUUAAAAAAAAGAAUUUUAAGUACUAAAAAUAUUUUUUAUCUAUGAAAUUAUAAUAUAACUGAACAGAAUAUGUAUAUAUUUAUAUAUAUAUGAAAAAGGUGGAAAUUCAUUCAGUUAUGAAAUAAACUAAAUCAUAAUAAAAAUAAAAAUAUUAAAUUAAUUUUAAAUAUCACACACUUAGCGUAUAAAUAGUAUUACCUAAUCAUAAUGUCAACA